This 460-nucleotide ribosomal RNA is filed under the name uncultured bacterium. RNAcentral describes it as "partial 16S ribosomal RNA". It matches the Rfam family "Bacterial small subunit ribosomal RNA", at positions 338 to 795 of the family's 1533-position model. The record is from RNAcentral.
CCUACCGGAGGCUGCAGUGAGGAAUAUUGGUCAAUGGGCGCGAGCCUGAUCCAGCCAAGUAGCGUGAAGGAUGAAUGCCCUACGGGUUGUAAACUUCUUUUAUAAAGGAAUAAAGUGAGACACGUGUGCCUUUUUGUAUGUACUUUAUGAAUAAGGAUCGGCUAACUCCGUGCCAGCAGCCGCGGUAAUACGGAGGAUCCGAGCGUUAUCCGGAUUUAUUGGGUGUAAAGGGAGCGUAGAUGGGUUGUUAAGUCAGUUGUGAAAGUCUGCGGCUCAACCGUAAAAUUGCAAUUGAUACUGGCAGUCUAGAGUACAGUUGAGGUAGGCGGAAUUCGUGGUGUAGCGGUGAAAUGCGUAGAUAUCACGAAGAACUCCGAUUGCGAAGGCAGCUUACUAAACUGCCACUGACGUUGAUGCUCGAAAGUGUGGGUAUCAAACAGGAUUAGAUACCCUUGUAGUC